Alexandromys fortis (reed vole) is the source of this 272-nucleotide long non-coding RNA. RefSeq lists it as uncharacterized. Lineage: Eukaryota; Metazoa; Chordata; Mammalia; Rodentia; Cricetidae. The transcript has 3 exons. The record is from RefSeq and is a predicted model, not a curated record.
UUGCUGGAGCCGGACUAGAAUAAAGCCUCUAAUUACUUCUUCUCAACACUUAUCCGACGUCGCCGCCCACAAUUACUCUAAAGUGCUAAAGACUAUUUGAAUGUGAAGAAGGCAACUUAGUUCCUGUCUCCCACAAGCUCACAGUCUCGUAUCGGAGUCCUAGUUUGAAGUUUUAUUUGAAUAUUCCAUGCCAAGUCUCUUGGAGUCUUCAAGACAGUGAAUCUUGGAUACAUGGAGCUGAAGUGAUUUGCUGAAGGCGGCAGAGUUGGGAA